UGCACUUGUGGACAUUCGUAUUACCUCUAAGCAUGGCAUAUGCGUUAGCGAAGGAGGUUCACACGGCCUGGCGGCAUCUCUUCGUCCCUGCGUGUCUUCAACCACGCCGGUAAGAGCUUUUGCAAAUUAUGGUGGUUCAAUAAUCACGGUCCCGGGUCAGCAUUUUUCACGAAGUGCUUGGCACUCAACCUGUCGCUUCGGCACGACUUACGUCUCUGCAAAUAUAAUGACUGCGACACUGGCCACCUGUGUCACACCUGCUCGCGCAAAGGGGAUAGUUCAGUUUGCAUUUUUUGCCAAUGGAGUACGAUCCCUAGAUCGGCUUCCACUAAAUUUUACCUUCACAUAAAGAGUUAUGAUCUGCCCAACUUGACAUGUAUUCAGAUGGCUUCCGGCGUGAAUGCCGCAAAUAAAGGACAUUUGAUGGCUCUAUCGAUGUCAUAUUUGACUGAAGAUCUGUUUUGUUUGGUUGGUGUGAUCAUGGAGCGUACACGAUCCAGCUCCUGCGUUGCUGUUAGGAAUAAUAAUGUGAAGAACGCUUUUUAUUUGUGUGUUUCGUAAAUGAAGCGACUAAUGCACAACCAGUACUGCAUAUAAAAGGCAGUGAACAUAACAUACAGAUAGGAACAAGAACAAAAUCUUACGAUCAUUCAUUUCGCAAUUCAAUGCAAUAAAAAACACCUUCGAAGGUAGCAGUAAACUCCCCAGUGUGCCCGGACAGUCACGUAGAUGUAUGCGGUGUGCGGUGUGGUGGAGCGCGUCCGUCCCCAGGUGGUCGGCAUAGCCGCGUCGCGCGAGCACGCGUCGUUGUCGUCGUCGCUCCUCGUCGUCGCUCCUCGGUUCGUCCGACGCCGGUCACUUCUCCUGCGCCCGUGCACACGCGAACAGCGUCGUCACGCUGAGCUCGAAACCAUGCCGGUUUUAGCAAUAUCGAGUUGGCAUUAUUUGGGUCGCUUCAGGACAGGGGUGACGUAAUUAUUUGAUAACCCGGCCUUUUGAAAAUCAAGGUAUUUGCUCAUCAUAGGAGAACGAACACGCACACGUGCACACUCGCGGAGAAAUUCAGCCGAGGUGUUUUAUCUGCACAAAAUACAACCCUCAUUUCCCGUUGCCCACGACUGUCCCUUCAAAGUUGUUGCGACAAAUUUUUGAUUCACCCCCUUGCCAUCGAGCAGUCCGCGCCUCCAACAUAGGCGCGAUCUCGAACCCGCCGAACGGAACGUGGUUGCAGCCGUCACCGUCUCGUUAUCGAGAAGUGAAACGACCCGGUAAACCUCCGUUUCCGCUCGUGGACAACACGUCCACGUGCUCAAAUAAUUUUUGUUUCAAGGUCUCGGGCGCUAAUGAGCGCAUUUGUCCUGAUCAGCAAGAUCCGGACAUUCGCGCGCCAGGGACCCCGAGACCUUCAAACGAAAAUUAUUGUGAUACGAGUAUGCGAUCGUUACUUUUUCAGUGGCGAGGCGUGCGCCGCGGACGCGCGCCGAAAGAAUUUCCCGUGUCGGGGGGGAUGGAAAGGUGUAUCGGGGAGUGUACCUGAGGCUCUAAAUCCUGUACAAAAAUGUUCGUCGACGGGUUGGGAAGCGCACCGCCGUCGAACCGCCGUCUUUAUUUCCCGCGAAAAGUCGGUUUUAGGGCCCAAAAAAAAUCGAUGGGGA
RNAcentral lists this long non-coding RNA (1655 nucleotides) under Micromonas commoda. RNAcentral's name for it is "long non-coding RNA (MCOM_LNC000074)". Lineage: Eukaryota; Viridiplantae; Chlorophyta; Mamiellophyceae; Mamiellales; Mamiellaceae. The record is from RNAcentral.